UACGAAGGGGGCUAGCGUUGUUCGGAAUUACUGGGCGUAAAGCGCACGUAGGCGGAUAUUUAAGUCAGGGGUGAAAUCCCGGGGCUCAACCCCGGAUCUGCCUUUGAUACUGGGUAUCUCGAGUCCGAGAGAGGUGAGUGGAAUUCCGAGUGUAGAGGUGAAAUUCGUAGAUAUUCGGAGGAACACCAGUGGCGAAGGCGGCUCACUGGCUCGGUACUGACGCUGAGGAGCGAAAGCGUGGGGAGCAAACAGG
This 253-nucleotide ribosomal RNA is filed under the name uncultured bacterium. Its description in RNAcentral is "partial 16S ribosomal RNA". It matches the Rfam family "Bacterial small subunit ribosomal RNA", at positions 524 to 776 of the family's 1533-position model. The record is from RNAcentral.